GAUGAACGCUGGCGGCGUGCCUAAUACAUGCAAGUCGAGCGAACGGACGAGAAGCUUGCUUCUCUGAUGUUAGCGGCGGACGGGUGAGUAACACGUGGAUAACCUACCUAUAAGACUGGGAUAACUUCGGGAAACCGGAGCUAAUGCCGGAUAAUAUUUUGAACCGCAUGGUUCAAAAGUGAAAGACGGUCUUGCUGUCACUUAUAGAUGGAUCCGCGCUGCAUUAGCUAGUUGGUAAGGUAACGGCUUACCAAGGCAACGAUGCAUAGCCGACCUGAGAGGGUGAUCGGCCACACUGGAACUGAGACACGGUCCAGACUCCUACGGGAGGCAGCAGUAGGGAAUCUUCCGCUAUGGGCGAAAGCCUGACGGAGCAACGCCGCGUGAGUGAUGAAGGUCUUCGGAUCGUAAAACUCUGUUAUUAGGGAAGAACAUAUGUGUAAGUAACUGUGCACAUCUUGACGGUACCUAAUCAGAAAGCCACGGCUAACUACGUG
This 497-nucleotide ribosomal RNA is filed under the name uncultured bacterium. RNAcentral's name for it is "partial 16S ribosomal RNA". It matches the Rfam family "Bacterial small subunit ribosomal RNA", at positions 28 to 507 of the family's 1533-position model. The record is from RNAcentral.